GAUGAAGAACGCAGCGAAAUGCGAUACGUAAUGUGAAUUGCAGAAUUCAGUGAAUCAUCGAAUCUUUGAACGCAGAUUGCGCUCUCUGGUAUUCCGGAGAGCAUGCUUGUUUGAGUAUCAGUAAACACCUCAACUCCCUUUUCUUUUUUGAAAUUGGAGCUGGACUUGAGUGAUCCCAACGCUUUCUUCCAAGAAAGUGGCGGGUUGCUUGAAAUGCAGGUGCAGCUGAACUUUUCUCUGAGCUAUAAGCAUAUCUAUUUAGUCUGCCUAAAAAACAGAUUAUUACCUUUGCUGCAGCUAACAUAAAGGAGACUAGUUCUUGUGCUGACUGAUGCAGGAUUCACAGAGACAGCUUCGGCUGACUUUGUAAACUCGAUCUCAAAUCAAGUAAGACUACCCGCUGAACUUAAGCAUAUCAAUAAGCGGAGGA
This 430-nucleotide unclassified non-coding RNA is filed under the name soil metagenome. RNAcentral describes it as "partial contains 5.8S ribosomal RNA, internal transcribed spacer 2, and large subunit ribosomal RNA". The stretch from base 1 to 120 matches the Rfam family "5.8S ribosomal RNA", at positions 35 to 154 of the family's 154-position model. The record is from RNAcentral.